ACUUUCGUAGUGUAAUUGGAAGCAUGUCCGACUAGCAAUCGGAAGGUUUGGAGUUCGAAUCCCGGCGAUGGCA
This 73-nucleotide transfer RNA is filed under the name Stegodyphus mimosarum. It matches the Rfam family "tRNA". Rfam says of the family: Transfer RNA (tRNA) molecules are approximately 80 nucleotides in length. Lineage: Eukaryota; Metazoa; Arthropoda; Arachnida; Araneae; Eresidae. The record is from Rfam by way of RNAcentral.